RNAcentral lists this ribosomal RNA (497 nucleotides) under uncultured bacterium. RNAcentral's name for it is "partial 16S ribosomal RNA". It matches the Rfam family "Bacterial small subunit ribosomal RNA", at positions 28 to 507 of the family's 1533-position model. The record is from RNAcentral.
GAUGAACGCUGGCGGCGUGCCUAAUACAUGCAAGUCGAGCGAACAGACGAGGAGCUUGCUCCUCUGACGUUAGCGGCGGACGGGUGAGUAACACGUGGAUAACCUACCUAUAAGACUGGGAUAACUUCGGGAAACCGGAGCUAAUACCGGAUAAUAUAUUGAACCGCAUGGUUCAAUAGUGAAAGACGGUUUUGCUGUCACUUAUAGAUGGAUCCGCGCCGCAUUAGCUAGUUGGUAAGGUAACGGCUUACCAAGGCAACGAUGCGUAGCCGACCUGAGAGGGUGAUCGGCCACACGGGAACUGAGACACGGUCCAGACUCCUACGGGAGGCAGCAGUAGGGAAUCUUCCGCAAUGGGCGAAAGCCUUACGGAACAACGCCGCGUGAGUGAUGAAGGUCUUCGGAUCGUAAAACUCUGUUAUUAGGGAAGAACAAAUGUGUAAGUAACUAUGCACGUCUUGACGGUACCUAAUCAGAAAGCCACGGCUAACUACGUG